UCGCCACACAGGGCGAGCCCGCGGCUGCCGCCAUCUUGGGCUCACAACGAGGCUGAGGGGCCCAGGUGCUGCCCUGUGCGGGAGUAGGUGGUUCUCCCUCCGUGCAAAGGGAGGGCUGGCCCUUGCUGGAGUCAGGUUCAGCUCAGUUGAUUGAGGCCUCCGCUCCUGCUGGCUGCUGUCUUCCUAAUCGGUUUUGAAUUAGAAAAAUUCAUUUCUGGGCUGACAGCAAGAUGGCAACUUGCAAUGCCAAGGAAGAAUUUCCCAUAAAGUUACAAGCAAAUGAAAACAGGAGACUAUAAUGGAAAACUGUAGGUACCCUGAGCUAUAGCGUUUGUUACCGCAAAAGCUGUAAUUACAUGUCUAAUGUAGUGCAAAAGUUAAUCUUCAGUAUCUUUUCCAUUUGCUGCUGAGACAAGCAGACAGGCAGAUAGAGAAGUGUAAUGGAUUCUGAUGGAUAAGGAACAUAUUCAGUUCACCCAGGUAAAGCUCCUUGUGGGAUAUCAGAAUACAUUUGUUCAAGAGUGUGAUGUUCACAGCCUUUUCCCUGACUCUUCUGUUUGCAUAUUUCUA
Terrapene triunguis (Three-toed box turtle) is the source of this 570-nucleotide long non-coding RNA. RefSeq lists it as uncharacterized. The transcript has 3 exons. NCBI's taxonomy places the organism in Eukaryota, Metazoa, Chordata, Testudines, Emydidae. The record is from RefSeq and is a predicted model, not a curated record.